This is a long non-coding RNA of Olea europaea var. sylvestris, 1001 nucleotides long. RefSeq lists it as uncharacterized. NCBI's taxonomy places the organism in Eukaryota, Viridiplantae, Streptophyta, Magnoliopsida, Lamiales, Oleaceae. The transcript has 2 exons. The record is from RefSeq and is a predicted model, not a curated record.
AAAACAAUGUUGAAAAAUGUAUUUUUCCCAAAGAAUGAGGCUCAAACAAGGGCUUUGAUUCUUUUGAAUGUCGUGCUUGAUUUUAUUGCUCAAGCUCAUCAUUUAUGUUGGUAUUGCUCAAGUCUAUUCUAAAUAGGGGUGGACAAAAUGUCCAGACCAAACCAAAUCAAAUCGGAAGCAAACCAAACCGAGUGGUUCGGUUCGAUUUUACGAAAAAAAUUAAUGGUUUUGGAUCUUUGAACCGAGAACCAUUUGGUUCUAGUUUCUGUUCAGUUCUAAUGCUAGAACCAAAAACCAAACAUAAUUUAUAAUUUUAUUUUUUAUAUGAAUCUAAUUUUAUAUUAAUGGAAGUUAGUCCAAUAACCAUUAUUUUUUUUACAGCUAAUUAAAUGUGUCUAGCUCAUUAAUUUUUUUCUCUAAUAGCUAUAGCCGUCCAGCCCAAAGGGUUAAGAGAAACCCAAAUUCCCAAUUCCAAUUUGUCUCUCAAUAUUCACCGUCUCACUUGGUCAUCGACGCCGCCUUCCAAUCCAUCAUUGUAUUUAUCUCCGAGGACACUUUGAAUUCUGAGUGCUACGGUAGAGGAAGAUAGGUAGUACCACCACCAAUUUUCCCAGUUUGCACACAGACGUCAUCAUCCCACACCAUUCCUCGUUUAGACAGUGCCACUUUUCCUUGUUUGCACAUGGACAUCAUCCCACAUUUGGACAAAGGAUGAAAUUGAACUCAAUAUUAUUAACUUCAACCCAACCGAGCUACAAUGCCCACAAGGAUGAUCACACGGUUGACACAACACACACAUAGGGGUCAGGAUUAUUUUAUUCAUGGGGGGCCCACGCCUCGACUAUGAGUGUGCGGUCAUCCACACAAUAACCGACGCGGGUUGAGUAGCUUGAUUCUAUUAACUUUUGGCAAUGACUCAUUCGUUUAUAUUUUAUUUGUUAAUUUGGACUUUUAUAACCUUGAUUAUUGAUAAUUUGAACUUGUUAAAUGUUUGAUGCUUA